This 475-nucleotide ribosomal RNA is filed under the name uncultured bacterium. RNAcentral describes it as "bacterial SSU rRNA". It matches the Rfam family "Bacterial small subunit ribosomal RNA", at positions 28 to 507 of the family's 1533-position model. The record is from RNAcentral.
GAUGAACGCUGGCGGCGUGCCUCAAACAUGCAAGUCGAGCGAGGCUAUGAGUUACCGCAAGGUAAGGCAUAGCCUAGCGGCGAACGGGUGAGUAACACGUGGGUAACCUACCUGGAAGACAGGGAUAACGAUUCGAAAGGGUCGCUAAUACCUGAUAAUAUCCAUCUGCCGGAUGGCGGAGGGAAGAAAGGGGAAACCCGCUUUCAGAUGGGCCCGCGUCCCAUCAGCUAGUUGGUAAGGUAAAGGCUUACCAAGGCGACGACGGGUAGCCGGUCUGAGAGGAUGUACGGCCACACUGGGACUGAGAUACGGCCCAGACUCCUACGGGAGGCAGCAGUUGGGAAUCUUAGGCAAUGGACGAAAGUCUGACCUAGCGACGCCGCGUGAGGGAAGAAGGCCUUCGGGUUGUAAACCUCUGUCAUGGGGGAAGAAGGAAGUGACGGUACCCCAAGAGGAAGCCCCUGCUAACUACGUG